CAAAUAUUUGAUGGUGAGGAGAAAGUGUUUAGUGUUUGCCAUGUACCUAAUGUAUUAAGCAAUUUAUCUACAUUGUUACUAUCAGGUCAGAGAGGAACUGUUCAAGCUCAUAACGGGAAAAUCAAAAGGAAACGACAGCACAAAGAAAUUCACUUCAACUACUUACACAAAAGACCACUGAAGAUGCAGAUUGUGAAUCCUGAACUAACAAGUCACCUGUUCAACUACCC
Molecule: long non-coding RNA, 230 nt
Organism: Oreochromis aureus
Lineage: Eukaryota; Metazoa; Chordata; Actinopteri; Cichliformes; Cichlidae
Exons: 3
Source: RefSeq, a predicted model, not a curated record